AUGACCUUAGUUGAACAGGAUCUUUUCUAUAGGCUCGUACCACUGUAUCCUUGAGUUCCAAGGAGACUGGAAACCAAGUCCGGUGGAUGAACCGUGGCUAUGAGACUAGAGCGUGAUUAACAGCCUCCAUGGUCUUUGGGUCAUGGUGCCAUAGAUGAUCGUUCUCUGCCUGGUCCACUGGGCUUGAGAUGGUCUCGUGGCAAUCUGACAGACU
Molecule: small nucleolar RNA, 214 nt
Organism: Capsicum annuum
Lineage: Eukaryota; Viridiplantae; Streptophyta; Magnoliopsida; Solanales; Solanaceae
Product: small nucleolar RNA U3
Exons: 1
Source: RefSeq, a predicted model, not a curated record